GAUGAACGCUGGCGGCGUGCCUAAUACAUGCAAGUCGAGCGAACAGACGAGGAGCUUGCUCCUCUAACGUUAGCGGCGGACGGGUGAGUAACACGUGGAUAACCUACCUAUAAGACUGGGAUAACUUCGGGAAACCGGAGCUAAUACCGGAUAAUAUAUUGAACCGCAGGGUUCAAUAGUGAAAGACGGUUUUGCUGUCACUUAUAGAUGGAUCCGCGCCGCAUUAGCUAGUUGGUAAGGUAACAGCUUACCAAGGCAACGAUGCGUAGCCGACCUGAGAGGGUGAUCGGCCACACUGGAACUGAGACACGGUCCAGACUCCUACGGGAGGCAGCAGUAGGGAAUCUUCCGCAAUGGGCGAAAGCCUGACGGAGCAACGCCGCGUGAGUGAUGAAGGUCUUCGGAUCGUAAAACUCUGUUAUUAGGGGAGAACAAAUGUGUAAGUAACUAUGCACGUCUUGACGGUACCUAAUCAGAAAGCCACGGCUAACUACGUGCCAGCAGCCGCGGUAAUACGUAGGUGGCAAGCGUUAUCCGGAAUUAUUGGGCGUAAAGCGCGCGUAGGCGGUUUUUUAAGUCUGAUGUGAAAGCCCACGGCUCAACCGUGGAGGGUCAUUGGAAACUGGAAAACUUGAGUGCAGAAGAGGAAAGUGGAAUUCCAUGUGUAGCGGUGAAAUGCGCAGAGAUAUGGAGGAACACCAGUGGCGAAGGCGACUUUCUGGUCUGUAACUGACGCUGAUGUGCGAAAGCGUGGGGAUCAAACAGGAUUAGAUACCCUGGUAGUCCACGCCGUAAACGAUGAGUGCUAAGUGUUAGGGGGUUUCCGCCCCUUAGUGCCGCAGCUAACGCAUUAAGCACUCCGCCUGGGGAGUACGACCGCAAGGUUGAAACUCAAAGGAAUUGACGGGGACCCGCACAAGCGGUGGAGCAUGUGGUUUAAUUCGAAGCAACGCGAAGAACCUUACCAAAUCUUGACAUCCUCUGACCCCUCUAGAGAUAGAGUUUUCCCCUUCGGGGGACAGAGUGACAGGUGGUGCAUGGUUGUCGUCAGCUCGUGUCGUGAGAUGUUGGGUUAAGUCUCGCAACGAGCGCAACCCUUAAGCUUAGUUGCCAUCAUUAAGUUGGGCACUCUAAGUUGACUGCCGGUGACAAACCGGAGGAAGGUGGGGAUGACGUCAAAUCAUCAUGCCCCUUAUGAUUUGGGCUACACACGUGCUACAAUGGACAAUACAAAGGGUAGCGAAACCGCGAGGUCAAGCAAAUCCCAUAAAGCUGUUCUCAGUUCGGAUUGUAGUCUGCAACUCGACUAUAUGAAGCUGGAAUCGCUAGUAAUCGUAGAUCAGCAUGCUACGGUGAAUACGUUCCCGGGUCU
RNAcentral lists this ribosomal RNA (1372 nucleotides) under uncultured bacterium. RNAcentral's name for it is "bacterial SSU rRNA". It matches the Rfam family "Bacterial small subunit ribosomal RNA", at positions 28 to 1381 of the family's 1533-position model. The record is from RNAcentral.